RNAcentral lists this ribosomal RNA (464 nucleotides) under uncultured bacterium. RNAcentral describes it as "partial 16S ribosomal RNA". It matches the Rfam family "Bacterial small subunit ribosomal RNA", at positions 28 to 507 of the family's 1533-position model. The record is from RNAcentral.
GACGAACGCUGGCGGCGUGCUUAACACAUGCAAGUCGAACGGUAAGGCCCUUUCGGGGGUACACGAGUGGCGAACGGGUGAGUAACACGUGGGUGAUCUGCCCUGCACUUUGGGAUAAGCCUGGGAAACUGGGUCUAAUACCGGAUAGGACUACGCGAUGCAUGUCGUGUGGUGGAAAGCUUUUGCGGUGUGGGAUGGGCCCGCGGCCUAUCAGCUUGUUGGUGGGGUGAUGGCCUACCAAGGCGACGACGGGUAGCCGGCCUGAGAGGGUGUCCGGCCACACUGGGACUGAGAUACGGCCCAGACUCCUACGGGAGGCAGCAGUGGGGAAUAUUGCACAAUGGGCGCAAGCCUGAUGCAGCGACGCCGCGUGGGGGAUGACGGCCUUCGGGUUGUAAACCCCUUUCAGCACAGACGAAGCGUAAGUGACGGUAGGUGCAGAAGAAGCACCGGCCAACUACGUG